This 503-nucleotide ribosomal RNA is filed under the name uncultured bacterium. RNAcentral's name for it is "partial 16S ribosomal RNA". It matches the Rfam family "Bacterial small subunit ribosomal RNA", at positions 28 to 523 of the family's 1533-position model. The record is from RNAcentral.
GAUGAACGCUAGCGACAGGCUUAACACAUGCAAGUCGAGGGGCAGCAUAAAAGUAGCAAUACUUUGGUGGCGACCGGCGCACGGGUGAGUAACGCGUAUGCAACCUACCUAUCAGAGGGGAAUAACCCGGCGAAAGUCGGACUAAUACCGCAUAAAACAGGGGCACCGCAUGGUGAUAUUUGUUAAAGAGAUUCGCUGAUAGAUGGGCAUGCGUUCCAUUAGGUAGUUGGUGAGGUAACGGCUCACCAAGCCGACGAUGGAUAGGGGAACUGAGAGGUUGGUCGCCCACGCUGGUACUGGGACACGGACCAGUCUCCUACGGGAGGCAGCAGUGAGGAAUAUUGGUCAAUGGGCGAGAGCCUGAACCAGCCAAGUCGCGUGAAGGAAGAAGGAUCUAUGGUUCGUAAACUUCUUUUGCAGGGGAAUAAAGUGCAGGACGUGUCCUGUUUUGUAUGUACCCUGAGAAUAAGGAUCGGCUAACUCCGUGCCAGCCGCCGCGGUAA